CCCUCAUUGUAAAUAUGCGGACGUGCUACUCAUGUUGAUUGUUCUCGACUAAUCACAAUGGUUCAGUUGCACCGAAAACAUGCAACUAUUUUAUUAGCAUUAGAUACUCCUAGACAAAGAUGGAGUUGGGCCUAAUAUCUAUCAGGUGAGGGAUCUAAUGACGGCUUUGCACCCACUGAUGAAUGGUGGGUUUGACUUAACCAAUGAGUAUGAUCAAUACCUGUCAGAUGAGCCCAUAUGACUUAGAGAUCGAAUCACUGUAACAUACUUAAAGAAGCAUUGGACAAGAGUUGUCCACUC
This 300-nucleotide long non-coding RNA is filed under the name Elaeis guineensis (African oil palm). Its description in RNAcentral is "long non-coding RNA (EGUI_LNC001297)". The record is from RNAcentral. Lineage: Eukaryota; Viridiplantae; Streptophyta; Magnoliopsida; Arecales; Arecaceae.